This is a long non-coding RNA of Patiria miniata (bat star), 226 nucleotides long. RefSeq lists it as uncharacterized. NCBI's taxonomy places the organism in Eukaryota, Metazoa, Echinodermata, Asteroidea, Valvatida, Asterinidae. The transcript is spliced from 3 exons. The record is from RefSeq and is a predicted model, not a curated record.
CCCUUUGUCGUAAUCAAAGUGCGGAGUCAGGCGAUGAACGUUUGAGUUUUUGUGUUAGCAACUUGCUCUUUCACGGAGAAUGCGUAUACGAUCCCCUCAAAUCGACCAAGUUGACGUUUGCAUGCCGAGAUCAUUAUGGAUAUGUACAUCACCUUUGAAGAGUACCAGCAGAUGUGGGCCAAGUCAGUGCCCCCACCAGACGCCCCGACGAUGUACAGCGAGUAUC